Molecule: ribosomal RNA, 2927 nt
Filed under: Enterobacter sp. R4-368
Lineage: Bacteria; Pseudomonadati; Pseudomonadota; Gammaproteobacteria; Enterobacterales; Enterobacteriaceae
Description: bacterial LSU rRNA
Rfam family: Bacterial large subunit ribosomal RNA
Source: RNAcentral
GGGUUGUGAGGUUAAGCGACUAAGCGUACACGGUGGAUGCCCUGGCAGUCAGAGGCGAUGAAGGACGUGCUAAUCUGCGAAAAGCGCCGGUAAGGUGAUAUGAACCGUUAUAGCCGGCGAUGUCCGAAUGGGGAAACCCAGUGUGAUUCGUCACACUAUCAUUAACUGAAUCCAUAGGUUAAUGAGGCGAACCGGGGGAACUGAAACAUCUAAGUACCCCGAGGAAAAGAAAUCAACCGAGAUUCCCCCAGUAGCGGCGAGCGAACGGGGAGCAGCCCAGAGCCUGAAUCAGCUUGUGUGUUAGUGGAAGCGUCUGGAAAGUCGCGCGAUACAGGGUGACAGCCCCGUACACAAAAGCACACAGGCUGUGAGCUCGAUGAGUAGGGCGGGACACGUGGUAUCCUGUCUGAAUAUGGGGGGACCAUCCUCCAAGGCUAAAUACUCCUGACUGACCGAUAGUGAACCAGUACCGUGAGGGAAAGGCGAAAAGAACCCCGGCGAGGGGAGUGAAAAAGAACCUGAAACCGUGUACGUACAAGCAGUGGGAGCACCUUCGGGUGUGACUGCGUACCUUUUGUAUAAUGGGUCAGCGACUUAUAUUCUGUAGCAAGGUUAACCGAAUAGGGGAGCCGAAGGGAAACCGAGUCUUAACUGGGCGUUAAGUUGCAGGGUAUAGACCCGAAACCCGGUGAUCUAGCCAUGGGCAGGUUGAAGGUUGGGUAACACUAACUGGAGGACCGAACCGACUAAUGUUGAAAAAUUAGCGGAUGACUUGUGGCUGGGGGUGAAAGGCCAAUCAAACCGGGAGAUAGCUGGUUCUCCCCGAAAGCUAUUUAGGUAGCGCCUCGUGAAUUCAUCUCCGGGGGUAGAGCACUGUUUCGGCUAGGGGGCCAUCCCGGCUUACCAACCCGAUGCAAACUACGAAUACCGGAGAAUGUUAUCACGGGAGACACACGGCGGGUGCUAACGUCCGUCGUGAAGAGGGAAACAACCCAGACCGCCAGCUAAGGUCCCAAAGUCAUGGUUAAGUGGGAAACGAUGUGGGAAGGCCCAGACAGCCAGGAUGUUGGCUUAGAAGCAGCCAUCAUUUAAAGAAAGCGUAAUAGCUCACUGGUCGAGUCGGCCUGCGCGGAAGAUGUAACGGGGCUAAACCAUGCACCGAAGCUGCGGCAGCGACGCUUAUGCGUUGUUGGGUAGGGGAGCGUUCUGUAAGCCUGCGAAGGUGUGCUGUGAGGCAUGCUGGAGGUAUCAGAAGUGCGAAUGCUGACAUAAGUAACGAUAAAGCGGGUGAAAAGCCCGCUCGCCGGAAGACCAAGGGUUCCUGUCCAACGUUAAUCGGGGCAGGGUGAGUCGACCCCUAAGGCGAGGCCGAAAGGCGUAGUCGAUGGGAAACAGGUUAAUAUUCCUGUACUUGGUGUUACUGCGAAGGGGGGACGGAGAAGGCUAUGUUAGCCGGGCGACGGUUGUCCCGGUUUAAGCGUGAAGGUGUGUGCUCCAGGCAAAUCCGGAGCACUUUAACACUGAGGCGUGAUGACGAGGCACUACGGUGCUGAAGUAACAAAUGCCCUGCUUCCAGGAAAAGCCUCUAAGCUCCAGGUAACACGAAAUCGUACCCCAAACCGACACAGGUGGUCAGGUAGAGAAUACCAAGGCGCUUGAGAGAACUCGGGUGAAGGAACUAGGCAAAAUGGUGCCGUAACUUCGGGAGAAGGCACGCUGAUAUGUAGGUGAAGUCCCUCGCGGAUGGAGCUGAAAUCAGUCGAAGAUACCAGCUGGCUGCAACUGUUUAUUAAAAACACAGCACUGUGCAAACACGAAAGUGGACGUAUACGGUGUGACGCCUGCCCGGUGCCGGAAGGUUAAUUGAUGGGGUCAUCCGUAAGGAGAAGCUCUUGAUCGAAGCCCCGGUAAACGGCGGCCGUAACUAUAACGGUCCUAAGGUAGCGAAAUUCCUUGUCGGGUAAGUUCCGACCUGCACGAAUGGCGUAAUGAUGGCCAGGCUGUCUCCACCCGAGACUCAGUGAAAUUGAACUCGCUGUGAAGAUGCAGUGUACCCGCGGCAAGACGGAAAGACCCCGUGAACCUUUACUAUAGCUUGACACUGAACACUGGUCCUUGAUGUGUAGGAUAGGUGGGAGGCUUUGAAGCGUGGACGCCAGUCUGCGUGGAGCCGCCCUUGAAAUACCACCCUUUAAUGGCUGGUGUUCUAACGUGGACCCGUAAUCCGGGUUGCGGACAGUGUCUGGUGGGUAGUUUGACUGGGGCGGUCUCCUCCUAAAGCGUAACGGAGGAGCACGAAGGUCAGCUAAUCCUGGUCGGACAUCAGGAGGUUAGUGCAAUGGCAUAAGCUGGCUUGACUGCGAGCGUGACGGCGCGAGCAGGUGCGAAAGCAGGUCAUAGUGAUCCGGUGGUUCUGAAUGGAAGGGCCAUCGCUCAACGGAUAAAAGGUACUCCGGGGAUAACAGGCUGAUACCGCCCAAGAGUUCAUAUCGACGGCGGUGUUUGGCACCUCGAUGUCGGCUCAUCACAUCCUGGGGCUGAAGUAGGUCCCAAGGGUAUGGCUGUUCGCCAUUUAAAGUGGUACGCGAGCUGGGUUUAGAACGUCGUGAGACAGUUCGGUCCCUAUCUGCCGUGGGCGCUGGAGAAUUGAGGGGGGCUGCUCCUAGUACGAGAGGACCGGAGUGGACGCAUCACUGGUGUUCGGGUUGUCAUGCCAAUGGCACUGCCCGGUAGCUAAAUGCGGAAGAGAUAAGUGCUGAAAGCAUCUAAGCACGAAACUUGCCCCGAGAUGAGUUCUCCCUGAGACCUUGAGUCUCCUGAAGGAACGUUGAAGACGACGACGUUGAUAGGCCGGGUGUGUAAGCGCAGCGAUGCGUUGAGCUAACCGGUACUAAUGAACCGUGAGGCUUAACCUUACAACGCCGAAG